Long non-coding RNA from Bombus huntii, 2004 nucleotides. RefSeq lists it as uncharacterized. The transcript has 3 exons. The record is from RefSeq and is a predicted model, not a curated record. NCBI's taxonomy places the organism in Eukaryota, Metazoa, Arthropoda, Insecta, Hymenoptera, Apidae.
UAUGAACGUUACUCACAUAUUUCGUGACAUUCUGUAUAGGGCUAUACGUACUUGUACAAUGCAUAAGUGUGAUAUUCGUUUAGAUUCUCGAUUCUUUCAGGGAGCUUUAUACUUUUCGCACUCUUGUCGAUCGACAGCAUAAAUAAGACGAAGAAGAGGAUCGCGGCACGAUGUGCACAGGACCUGUAUUCUUCUCUGGCAAGGUCUAUCUCCUUCUCUGUUUGUUCAGACACUACCAACGAUUCCUCGAUAGAGGUCGAGGUCGCCUUUGACGAUUGCAACGUGCUCAGUAAAUCCAGGUCGUCCAGUAGAGUGUCUCCGGCCACGUUCAGUAGACUAGGAAGGGAUCAAAAGAAGCAAAGGAUAUCUUACUGGAGUAUUUUGUCUUCGAGUUCUUUGAGAGUUCGUUUAUUGGACGAGAUCGUGAAGACCAGAUUGUCCUUCUGUUCUUCGAGCUGCGGCUUCUCUUUUCUGACCACGAUUCCCAAGAGCUGGUCUUCCAGUCCUGCGCACAGGAUAAUAAGGUUCUAGACUUUGUCUCCUCUGGCUACCUCUUCCUCUACCGCCCUCUCGAUCUAGUUCGCCUCCCGUUCAUCCUUCUCUCUGUGUCCAUCUUUUUCGCUCUCUAUUAUCUACCCUUUUCCAACUGACGCACGAUAAGACAAUUAGUUACCCUGUUCCUUAAUGGCGAAGUUACAUAACGUCGUUUUAGUGGAUAUCUCCGGGGCGUAAUGGGGGUUCGCGAGUUUCGUCGUGAUGAAGAGCCGGAACUUGUCGUGGUAGCUGAUCAUCUUUUCGUUGAACUUGAUCAUCAUCUGGUUCUCUGUACAGUCAGAGAACACGUACUGUAGAUGGACGCGAUUUAGCGUUGGAAGGUAAAGUUUACACGUUUCGAGUGCCAACAUAUGCAAUUGGAGAGACCUUUAGAGGGAUAAGGACUUUCAAUUCGGAAUUAUCUCUUCCUGUUGCUCUCUAAAGUAUACGUAUUAAUUUUUGACGAUCAUACAGCAACUUUCAUUAAUACGGAAGCUGUUAUUAAUUUACUAAGAAAAAAGUAAUAGGGAUUAAUAUCAUAUAUACGGAUUUAAUAAAAGGUUAUAAACAGAAUAUUUAUUUGUAAAUUAUCAUUGCAAAAUUUAAAUCUUCUCUAUAAGACGAAAACGAUUCUGAAUACAGCCAUUAUACACAGAGCACAGCGUUUUUAUUGAAUUUACGUUUAACUGCAUUGACUGACAAUGAGUCUUUGAUGCUUCUUCCAUUUGAAUUGCUAUUGAACUCCAAUAAUUUCAUGAUACUUUUACAUACCUAUUUUCACUAUUGCUCGUUCAAGGAUCGGGUUCAAUACCGGAUCGAUCGUUUCACCGAUAUUUUCUAGUAGAACUGGUUUACCAUAUUGGAUCGCGUAUUCUAAUACUCUGACGAAGUCUGGUUGGCCGAAAUCGAUCACUUUUAGAGACUAUGACCGCGAAAAGAUCGAAGAGAUUUCGCUUAAGAAUGUUUGUGUAAUUAAGAUUCUUUUGUAAUUUGUUUGUUUCCUAGAUUGGAUCGCAGAUGCUUACGUUCUUGGCCUCCAUAUUUUUCAGCCAUUUCACUGCUUGGCAUUGUGGAUCGAUUACUAAUGGCCACCUUGUACCUCUGACCACAAUGAUACCGUUCUCAGUACUAAAAUCAUCGGAUGGUAAUCCUUGCAUGUUCCAGUCUCUGAUGACCGCAGGGUCGGCCAGGAAUUGUUUCACAUCGAGCUGGGGUGACGUUGGAACUUCUUUUUCUUGCACCUUCGAGUUCGUUUGCGGACACCAUUGGAAAUUAGAGAACAAGAACAUCGAUACAUUUUGUUUAUUAAAUUUUAUAUCACUGCCGACUACUUUUCAAAAAAGUGGUCAUUUUUCCAGAAGAAUGUUGGACGAUCACCCCGCUGUCGGAAAUCUCAGAGUAAAACUAUUUUGCAAUCAUCCUUCUGGAAGAAUGAUAAUCAUAUCUAAAUAAAACUUUAUAUUAAAAGAG